UUAAGCGACUAAGCGUACACGGUGGAUGCCCUGGCAGUCAGAGGCGAUGAAGGACGUGCUAAUCUGCGAUAAGCGUCGGUAAGGUGAUAUGAACCGUUAUAACCGGCGAUUUCCGAAUGGGGAAACCCAGUGUGAUUCGUCACACUAUCAUUAACUGAAUCCAUAGGUUAAUGAGGCGAACCGGGGGAACUGAAACAUCUAAGUACCCCGAGGAAAAGAAAUCAACCGAGAUUCCCCCAGUAGCGGCGAGCGAACGGGGAGCAGCCCAGAGCCUGAAUCAGUGUGUGUGUUAGUGGAAGCGUCUGGAAAGGCGCGCGAUACAGGGUGACAGCCCCGUACACAAAAAUGCACAUGCUGUGAGCUCGAUGAGUAGGGCGGGACACGUGGUAUCCUGUCUGAAUAUGGGGGGACCAUCCUCCAAGGCUAAAUACUCCUGACUGACCGAUAGUGAACCAGUACCGUGAGGGAAAGGCGAAAAGAACCCCGGCGAGGGGAGUGAAAAAGAACCUGAAACCGUGUACGUACAAGCAGUGGGAGCACGCUUAGGCGUGUGACUGCGUACCUUUUGUAUAAUGGGUCAGCGACUUAUAUUCUGUAGCAAGGUUAACCGAAUAGGGGAGCCGAAGGGAAACCGAGUCUUAACUGGGCGUUAAGUUGCAGGGUAUAGACCCGAAACCCGGUGAUCUAGCCAUGGGCAGGUUGAAGGUUGGGUAACACUAACUGGAGGACCGAACCGACUAAUGUUGAAAAAUUAGCGGAUGACUUGUGGCUGGGGGUGAAAGGCCAAUCAAACCGGGAGAUAGCUGGUUCUCCCCGAAAGCUAUUUAGGUAGCGCCUCGUGAAUUCAUCUCCGGGGGUAGAGCACUGUUUCGGCAAGGGGGUCAUCCCGACUUACCAACCCGAUGCAAACUGCGAAUACCGGAGAAUGUUAUCACGGGAGACACACGGCGGGUGCUAACGUCCGUCGUGAAGAGGGAAACAACCCAGACCGCCAGCUAAGGUCCCAAAGUCAUGGUUAAGUGGGAAACGAUGUGGGAAGGCCCAGACAGCCAGGAUGUUGGCUUAGAAGCAGCCAUCAUUUAAAGAAAGCGUAAUAGCUCACUGGUCGAGUCGGCCUGCGCGGAAGAUGUAACGGGGCUAAACCAUGCACCGAAGCUGCGGCAGCGACACUAUGUGUUGUUGGGUAGGGGAGCGUUCUGUAAGCCUGUGAAGGUGUACUGUGAGGUAUGCUGGAGGUAUCAGAAGUGCGAAUGCUGACAUAAGUAACGAUAAAGCGGGUGAAAAGCCCGCUCGCCGGAAGACCAAGGGUUCCUGUCCAACGUUAAUCGGGGCAGGGUGAGUCGACCCCUAAGGCGAGGCCGAAAGGCGUAGUCGAUGGGAAACAGGUUAAUAUUCCUGUACUUGGUGUUACUGCGAAGGGGGGACGGAGAAGGCUAUGUUGGCCGGGCGACGGUUGUCCCGGUUUAAGCGUGUAGGCUGGUUUUCCAGGCAAAUCCGGAAAAUCAAGGCUGAGGCGUGAUGACGAGGCACUACGGUGCUGAAGCAACAAAUGCCCUGCUUCCAGGAAAAGCCUCUAAGCAUCAGGUAACAUCAAAUCGUACCCCAAACCGACACAGGUGGUCAGGUAGAGAAUACCAAGGCGCUUGAGAGAACUCGGGUGAAGGAACUAGGCAAAAUGGUGCCGUAACUUCGGGAGAAGGCACGCUGAUAUGUAGGUGAAGCGACUUGCUCGUGGAGCUGAAAUCAGUCGAAGAUACCAGCUGGCUGCAACUGUUUAUUAAAAACACAGCACUGUGCAAACACGAAAGUGGACGUAUACGGUGUGACGCCUGCCCGGUGCCGGAAGGUUAAUUGAUGGGGUUAGCGCAAGCGAAGCUCUUGAUCGAAGCCCCGGUAAACGGCGGCCGUAACUAUAACGGUCCUAAGGUAGCGAAAUUCCUUGUCGGGUAAGUUCCGACCUGCACGAAUGGCGUAAUGAUGGCCAGGCUGUCUCCACCCGAGACUCAGUGAAAUUGAACUCGCUGUGAAGAUGCAGUGUACCCGCGGCAAGACGGAAAGACCCCGUGAACCUUUACUAUAGCUUGACACUGAACAUUGAGCCUUGAUGUGUAGGAUAGGUGGGAGGCUUUGAAGUGUGGACGCCAGUCUGCAUGGAGCCGACCUUGAAAUACCACCCUUUAAUGUUUGAUGUUCUAACGUUGACCCGUAAUCCGGGUUGCGGACAGUGUCUGGUGGGUAGUUUGACUGGGGCGGUCUCCUCCUAAAGAGUAACGGAGGAGCACGAAGGUUGGCUAAUCCUGGUCGGACAUCAGGAGGUUAGUGCAAUGGCAUAAGCCAGCUUGACUGCGAGCGUGACGGCGCGAGCAGGUGCGAAAGCAGGUCAUAGUGAUCCGGUGGUUCUGAAUGGAAGGGCCAUCGCUCAACGGAUAAAAGGUACUCCGGGGAUAACAGGCUGAUACCGCCCAAGAGUUCAUAUCGACGGCGGUGUUUGGCACCUCGAUGUCGGCUCAUCACAUCCUGGGGCUGAAGUAGGUCCCAAGGGUAUGGCUGUUCGCCAUUUAAAGUGGUACGCGAGCUGGGUUUAGAACGUCGUGAGACAGUUCGGUCCCUAUCUGCCGUGGGCGCUGGAGAACUGAGGGGGGCUGCUCCUAGUACGAGAGGACCGGAGUGGACGCAUCACUGGUGUUCGGGUUGUCAUGCCAAUGGCACUGCCCGGUAGCUAAAUGCGGAAGAGAUAAGUGCUGAAAGCAUCUAAGCACGAAACUUGCCCCGAGAUGAGUUCUCCCUGACUCCUUGAGAGUCCUGAAGGAACGUUGAAGACGACGACGUUGAUAGGCCGGGUGUGUAAGCGCAGCGAUGCGUUGAGCUAACCGGUACUAAUGAACCGUGAGGCUUAACCUU
RNAcentral lists this ribosomal RNA (2901 nucleotides) under Escherichia coli. RNAcentral describes it as "bacterial LSU rRNA". It matches the Rfam family "Bacterial large subunit ribosomal RNA". The record is from RNAcentral. Lineage: Bacteria; Pseudomonadati; Pseudomonadota; Gammaproteobacteria; Enterobacterales; Enterobacteriaceae. RNAcentral also lists the same sequence under 1 other name.